AUUGAACGCUGGCGGCAGGCUUAACACAUGCAAGUCGAACGGUAACAGGGUGCUUGCACCGCUGACGAGUGGCGAACGGGUGAGUAAUGCGUCGGAACGUGCCGAGUAGUGGGGGAUAACGCAGCGAAAGUUGUGCUAAUACCGCAUACGUACUGAGGUAGAAAGUGGGGGACCUUCGGGCCUCACGCUAUUCGAGCGGCCGACGUCUGAUUAGCUAGUAGGUGAGGUAAAGGCUCACCUAGGCGACGAUCAGUAGCGGGUCUGAGAGGAUGAUCCGCCACACUGGGACUGAGACACGGCCCAGACUCCUACGGGAGGCAGCAGUGGGGAAUUUUGGACAAUGGGCGAAAGCCUGAUCCAGCCAUGCCGCGCGUCUGAAGAAGGCCUUCGGGUUGUAAAGGACUUUUGUCAGGGAGGAAAUCCCUAGUGCUAAUAACACUGGGGGAUGACAGUACCUGAAGAAUAAGCACCGGCUAACUACGUGCCAGCCGCCGCAGUAA
Molecule: ribosomal RNA, 500 nt
Filed under: uncultured bacterium
Lineage: Bacteria
Description: partial 16S ribosomal RNA
Rfam family: Bacterial small subunit ribosomal RNA
Source: RNAcentral